GGAAGGAACUGAUGCGCUGGAACGCAUCUGAUUGUCGUCUAAUUAGGCGAAAAUGAUUCCUCUUCUUCAUGGGCGCCUGACUGGACGAGGUUUUGCCUUUUGUGGUUAUCACAUGUAGCGACGCGUGACGCUAGAAGAAAUUUUCCAUGAAACGAGCUUAUCCUCCUGCCACUGGAUGAUUCCUAGCCGAAACAGUCUUGCUGGAACCGAUGUGCCGAGUCAGGUGAAAAUGUUUGGCUUGUAGUCCCCGCCCCCCGAAGAACCAUGGAUACCUUUCUUACCAUGGAGGUCUAACUUCCUACCUCCAUUCGAAGAACUGGUUUAUGAGCUCCUUAUGAUGUCUCAUAUCAUCGACUGAACAUAUUUCUGUUCUUCUGGCUUUACCUGGAGAUGGACACUUAAGGACACCCGCACUGGCAUGGCAAAACCAUACUGGAUUCGAGAUUCAAAACAGAUCAAAAGUAUAUAACAUGAUUAAUCCACGGGGCAUAUCACGCAGAUAUGCUUAAAUUUGUAAUAGGUGUCCGAGCACCGAAAUUAAUUAAACUACGGUAACAGAAAUUUUGGAAUCCUAUCCUAACAGAAUAGAGUUUAGAUUAGGUUAGAUUAUUUGAAUAUGGAAGGCACAUGAAAGUUAAUCUGCCUAAGAGAGGAGAUGAUCGUGAAUGUCUUUCUAAGGGAAAUUGGUUCGUAUUCAUGUUACACAUAGUUAAAACCACGAAAAUCAACUAUGUACCGAGUCCGUUCACCUAGGAUCGAACCCAGGUGGAACUUCCAGUAUUCAGCGGUCUUCAACCCUCGACACGCCCACCAACUUCCAGUUGGUAAAUUUGCUGAAUACACGAGCGGCUAAAACCCGCCGGGAACUGGAGAAAUUCAACCAAUCAGAGAGGACCGUUGCGCCAGGAACUUUUGGCAUCAUUUUCCGAUCGCCAAACGCAAUUUUUUACAAAACUGGUAUACAAGAACUCACUUGUUCAUUUUAUGGUAACUUGUUCGUACUUCUUGGUUAGAAGUAGUUCGUUUAUUUUGGUUAUUUUGUGGUACACUGAUAUGAUUUAAUAUUUAAUUUACUGUACGGGAGCUAAAUAUGUAAAUCUCAAUUUCGAAAACAAAUGCAACUUUAUAUGCUACUCAAUUUGCUAUCUUCAUACCGAAUAACUUUUUGAUACAUAUUUAAAUAAAGGGUAAAAAUAAUAAUUGAUAAAAA
This is a long non-coding RNA of Stegodyphus dumicola, 1210 nucleotides long. RefSeq lists it as uncharacterized. The record is from RefSeq and is a predicted model, not a curated record. Lineage: Eukaryota; Metazoa; Arthropoda; Arachnida; Araneae; Eresidae.